This is a long non-coding RNA of Homarus americanus (American lobster), 795 nucleotides long. RefSeq lists it as uncharacterized. The transcript is spliced from 3 exons. Lineage: Eukaryota; Metazoa; Arthropoda; Malacostraca; Decapoda; Nephropidae. The record is from RefSeq and is a predicted model, not a curated record.
UUCUUGACACCGUAAAAAGAGAAGGGCUCGCUUCUCACAUGUGGCGGCAAGACAGACAAAACCUUUAUUUCACACUUUUGGGAAUCACUUUUGGACGUCCGAGUAAACCUGUUGCUGAAGUAUGGCGUCACAGAAAACAAUCAAGAACUUCUUUAUGCAUGUCAUUAAGCGCGAGAGCGAGGAUUUAGAGGUUAAUGAUGUCACCAAAAAAUCAAAGAUUGAUGAGCAAAAUGAUUCUUCCAGUGAUCCUUCCAUGUGUGGGGAAUCAUUCAUCAAAGAACUGGGCCAUACCCCAAGGUGAGCCAUGUCUAGCUUGAAUGUGUGUGUGAUGAUCUCAUAUGGUGGGUUAGUGAAUCAGACCAAUAUUUGUCUGUGUCUAAUAUUGUGCAGUAGCUAUUUAAAAACAAAAACAAAUAGAAUUUUAUCUUGCCAACAACACAUCUGCUUACUCCUUUGCAUUUUGUAUUUUUCUUUCUGUACUUUCCUCUCUUUUUUUUCUUAUAUUCUUUUCUUUUUCAGUUCAUUAUCUUUAACUUCGUAGAAUUGUUCCUUCAUUCUUCCUCUUUUCUUGUCUUGUUAAAUUUCCACUAAUACUCCUACAUACUGUACUGUGGAUGUGUAUAACUGAGCAGGUAUUGAAAACAUUUAAAAAUUUCAUAAGUUCUGCUAAUACACAUUGAAACAUCAGCUUUAGACAAGUUGUUGAUACUGUAACUGCAUCACAAAAUAAAGAUUACCCUGUAUUUAUUACAUGCUUAAAUUGUCAAAGGAUAUUGAAGAAUUACAUGUAUACCU